UGAUGUAACAGAUCCUUGACAGGAAAUCCC
This 30-nucleotide non-coding RNA is filed under the name Rattus norvegicus (Norway rat). Lineage: Eukaryota; Metazoa; Chordata; Mammalia; Rodentia; Muridae. The record is from RNAcentral.